Molecule: ribosomal RNA, 301 nt
Filed under: uncultured bacterium
Lineage: Bacteria
Description: partial 16S ribosomal RNA
Rfam family: Bacterial small subunit ribosomal RNA
Source: RNAcentral
CAGCCGCCGCGGUAAUACGUAGGGUGCGAGCGUUAAUCGGAAUUACUGGGCGUAAAGCGUGCGCAGGCGGUUGCGUAAGACAGGUGUGAAAUCCCCGGGCUUAACCUGGGAACUGCGCUUGUGACUGCACAGCUAGAGUAUGGCAGAGGGGGGUGGAAUUCCACGUGUAGCAGUGAAAUGCGUAGAGAUGCGGAGGAACACCGAUGGCGAAAGCGGCUCACUGGACCAUUUCUGACGCUGAUGCACGAAAGCUAGGGGAGCAAACAGGAUUAGAUACCCGCGUAGUCCCUGUCUCUUAUAC